RNAcentral lists this transfer RNA (85 nucleotides) under Felis catus (domestic cat). It matches the Rfam family "tRNA". From Rfam's summary of the family: Transfer RNA (tRNA) molecules are approximately 80 nucleotides in length. Their secondary structure includes four short double-helical elements and three loops (D, anti-codon, and T loops). Lineage: Eukaryota; Metazoa; Chordata; Mammalia; Carnivora; Felidae. The record is from Rfam by way of RNAcentral.
GCCUGGGUGGCUCAACAGGUUGAGCAUCUGACUUCGGCUCAGGUCAUGAUCUCGUGGUCUGUGAGUUCAAGCCCCACGUCAGGCU